GGAAGGGUGGCCGAGUGGUUUAAGGCAGCGGUCUUGAAAACCGCCGUGGGUGAAAGCCCACCGUGGGUUCGAAUCCCACCCCUUCCGCCA
RNAcentral lists this transfer RNA (90 nucleotides) under Methylobacterium sp. Leaf113. RNAcentral's name for it is "tRNA-Ser". It matches the Rfam family "tRNA". From Rfam's summary of the family: Transfer RNA (tRNA) molecules are approximately 80 nucleotides in length. RNAcentral also lists the same sequence under 16 other names. The record is from RNAcentral. Lineage: Bacteria; Pseudomonadati; Pseudomonadota; Alphaproteobacteria; Hyphomicrobiales; Methylobacteriaceae.